Molecule: ribosomal RNA, 253 nt
Filed under: uncultured bacterium
Lineage: Bacteria
Description: partial 16S ribosomal RNA
Rfam family: Bacterial small subunit ribosomal RNA
Source: RNAcentral
GACAGAGGGUGCAAACGUUGUUCGGAAUUACUGGGCGUAAAGCGCGUGUAGGCGGCUAUGCAAGUCGGAUGUGAAAGCCCUCGGCUCAACCGGGGAAGUGCACCCGAAACUGCAAAGCUAGAGUCUCGGAGAGGAUCGUGGAAUUCUCGGUGUAGAGGUGAAAUUCGUAGAUAUCGAGAGGAACACCGGUGGUGAAGGCGGCGAUCUGGACAAUGACUGACGCUGAGGUGCGAAAGCGUGGGGAUCAAACAGG